UGAUAUGGUGGCAUAAACUCAUGAGCGGUGU
RNAcentral lists this non-coding RNA (31 nucleotides) under Mus musculus (house mouse). The record is from RNAcentral. Lineage: Eukaryota; Metazoa; Chordata; Mammalia; Rodentia; Muridae.